Molecule: ribosomal RNA, 497 nt
Filed under: uncultured bacterium
Lineage: Bacteria
Description: partial 16S ribosomal RNA
Rfam family: Bacterial small subunit ribosomal RNA
Source: RNAcentral
GAUGAACGCUGGCGGCGUGCCUAAUACAUGCAAGUCGAGCGAACAGACGAGGAGCUUGCUCCUCUGACGUUAGCGGCGGACGGGUGAGUAACACGUGGAUAACCUACCUAUAAGACUGGGAUAACUUCGGGAAACCGGAGCUAAUACCGGAUAAUAUAUUGAACCGCAUGGUUCAAUAGUGAAAGACGGUUUUGCUGUCACUUAUAGAUGGAUCCGCGCCGCAUUAGCUAGUUGGUAAGGUAACGGCUUACCAAGGCAACGAUGCGUAGCCGACCUGAGAGGAUGAUCGGCCACACUGGAACUGAGACACGGUCCAGACUCCUACGGGAGGCAGCAGUAGGGAAUCUUCCGCAAUGGGCGAAAGCCUGACGGAGCAACGCCGCGUGAGUGAUGAAGGUCUUCGGAUCGUAAAGCUCUGUUAUUGGGGAAGAACAAAUGUGUAAGUAACUAUGCACGUCUUGACGGUACCUAAUCAGAAAGCCACGGCUAACUACGUG